GUGGGCACUUUGGAUUAUGCACAUCUGGUCAUGGGUCUGUCUUUGGGGAAAACUCUGGGGUUGAAUCUAACCUCUGAGGUUCUCCACCCCAUCUACCUCAGUGUCUGCUGAAACCCCAGUACAGUUUGUGCUGGAAUCUAGUAAGGUCAUUAACAUUCAACAUCCUGUCAUUAUCAGCCGCAUUCUGGAUGAUUUUGUUACCGCGGAAUUCUGAGAGGGUACAAAUCCGUCUCAGCCCAGCUAAUUAGAUCUACUUUGAAUCUAGUGUUCAAAAAGAAGACAGCGUCACACUUUAGCUCACGAAUCUGUACAAAACAGAGGUAGACAGACGCACAGGUGUGUACAGGAGCUCAUGUGGAGGGAGGCUCACCUGGUGUGGAGCUGCGAAGUCGCAACCUGGAGAAGAGGAGAGCCAGUGGGCUCCGAUCCACGUACUACGUCCAGGGCAGGAGAGGGACGUCCCAACUCCAGCAAGCAGUACCUGGCCCUGCCUCCACUCUGCUCUGUUGAGAUCCUCAGUGGGUUGGGUGAUGCCCACUCACGCUGGGGACCACCAGCGUUUUUACUGCCCACCCAUUCAAAUGCUAAUGUCUACUGGAGAGACCCUCGUGGACACACCCAGAAAUAAUGUUUUACCAGGAUUGGGCAUCCCUGAGCCUAGCCACGUUGACACCUAAAAAGAAUCAUCACAGACCUGUGCUUUCGUCCCUUCACCUUGCUUACUUGCCAUCCACCUCGGUUGUCUUUGUCUCUUUGCUAUUCUUCAGUCUGGCCCUGCUAUCUACCUCAGGACA
Heterocephalus glaber (naked mole-rat) is the source of this 794-nucleotide long non-coding RNA. The record is from Ensembl. NCBI's taxonomy places the organism in Eukaryota, Metazoa, Chordata, Mammalia, Rodentia, Bathyergidae.